AGGCAGCAGUGAGGAAUUUUCCGCAAUGGGCGAAAGCCUGACGGAGCGACGUCGUGUGUGGGAUGAAGUCUUUCGGGAUGUAAACCACUGUCAGAGGGGAAGAUAUUGACGGUACCCUCAGAGGAAGCCCCGGCUAACUACGUGCCAGCAGCCGCGGUAAUACGUAGGGGGCGAGCGUUGUCCGGAAUCAUUGGGCGUAAAGGGCGCGUAGGCAGUCUUGCAAGUCGGAUGUUAAAUUUAUAGGCUCAACCGAUAACCGCAUUCGAAACUGCUUGACUAGAGAAUGGUAGAGGUAAACGGAAUUUCAGGUGUAGCGGUGAAAUGCGUAGAUAUCUGAAAGAACACCAGUGGCGAAGGAGGUUUACUGGGCCAUUUCUGACGCUGGGGCGCGAAAGCUAGGGGAUCAAACGGGAUUAGAUACCCCGGUAGUCCUAGCCCUAAACGAUGUUCAUUAGGUGUUAAAGGUGUCGACCCCUUUAGUGCCGUAGCUAACGCGUUAAAUGAACCGCCUGGGAAUUACGAUCGCAAGAUUAAAACUCAAAUGAAUUGACGG
This 553-nucleotide ribosomal RNA is filed under the name uncultured Bacillota bacterium. RNAcentral describes it as "bacterial SSU rRNA". It matches the Rfam family "Bacterial small subunit ribosomal RNA", at positions 346 to 916 of the family's 1533-position model. Lineage: Bacteria; Bacillati; Bacillota. The record is from RNAcentral.